GACGGAGGAUGCAAGCGUUAUCCGGAUUUAUUGGGUUUAAAGGGUGCGUAGGCGGGGCUUUAAGUCAGUGGUGAAAUCUUGCAGCUUAACUGUAAAAUUGCCAUUGAUACUGAAGUUCUUGAGUGCGGUUGAAGUAGGCGGAAUGUGUAAUGUAGCGGUGAAAUGCUUAGAGAUUACACAGAACACCGAUUGCGUAGGCAGCUUACUAAGCCGUAACUGACGCUGAGGCACGAAAGUGUGGGGAUCGAACAGG
This 253-nucleotide ribosomal RNA is filed under the name uncultured bacterium. RNAcentral describes it as "partial 16S ribosomal RNA". It matches the Rfam family "Bacterial small subunit ribosomal RNA", at positions 524 to 776 of the family's 1533-position model. The record is from RNAcentral.